This 375-nucleotide ribosomal RNA is filed under the name uncultured bacterium. Its description in RNAcentral is "bacterial SSU rRNA". It matches the Rfam family "Bacterial small subunit ribosomal RNA", at positions 30 to 405 of the family's 1533-position model. The record is from RNAcentral.
AUUGAACGCUGGCGGCAGGCCUAACACAUGCAAGUCGAGCGGUAGAGAGGUGCUUGCAUCUCUUGAGAGCGGCGGACGGGUGAGUAAUGCCUAGGAAUCUGCCUGGUGGUGGGGGAUAACGUUCGGAAACGGACGCUAAUACCGCAUACGUCCUACGGGAGAAAGCGGGGGAUCUUCGGACCUCGCGCCAUUAGAUGAGCCUAGGUCGGAUUAGCUAGUUGGUGAGGUAAUGGCUCACCAAGGCGACGAUCCGUAACUGGUCUGAGAGGAUGAUCAGUCACACUGGAACUGAGACACGGUCCAGACUCCUACGGGAGGCAGCAGUGGGGGAAUAUUGGACAAUGGCGAAAGCCUAAUCCAGCCAUGCCGCGUGUG